CCGUCGCGGUGCCGGCGUGGUCGCCGGUGAUCAUCUUCACGGUGAUGCCCGCGCGGUGGCACUCCGCGAUCGCGUCGAUCGCCUCGGGCCGCGGCGGG
Molecule: transfer RNA, 98 nt
Filed under: Cellulomonas chitinilytica
Lineage: Bacteria; Bacillati; Actinomycetota; Actinomycetes; Micrococcales; Cellulomonadaceae
Also listed under: 1 other name
Description: tRNA-Sec
Source: RNAcentral